UUUAUUGGAGAGUUUGAUCCUGGCUCAGGAUGAACGCUGGCGGCGUGCCUAAUACAUGCAAGUCGAGCGAAUGGAUUAAGAGCUUGCUCUUAUGAAGUUAGCGGCGGACGGGUGAGUAACACGUGGGUAACCUGCCCAUAAGACUGGGAUAACUCCGGGAAACCGGGGCUAAUACCGGAUAACAUUUUGAACCGCAUGG
RNAcentral lists this ribosomal RNA (199 nucleotides) under Bacillus paranthracis. RNAcentral describes it as "partial 16S ribosomal RNA". It matches the Rfam family "Bacterial small subunit ribosomal RNA", at positions 1 to 193 of the family's 1533-position model. Lineage: Bacteria; Bacillati; Bacillota; Bacilli; Caryophanales; Bacillaceae. The record is from RNAcentral.